UAGGGAAUCUUCGGCAAUGGGGGGAACCCUGACCGAGCAACGCCGCGUGAGUGAAGAAGGUUUUCGGAUCGUAAAGCUCUGUUGUUAAGGAAGAACGAGUGUGAGAAUGGAAAGUUCAUGCUGUGACGGUAUUUAACCAGAACGGGACGUCUAACUACGUUCCAGCAGCCGCGGUAAUACGUAGGUCCCGAGCGUUGUCCGGAUUUAUUGGGCGUAAAGCGUGCGCAGGCGGUUAGAAAAGUCUGAAGUGAAAGGCAGUGGCUCAACCAUUGUAGGCUUUGGAAACUGUUUAACUUGAGUGCAGAAGGGGAGAGUGGAAGUCCAUGUGUAGCGGUGAAAUGCGUAGAUAUAUGGAGGAACACCGGUGGCGAAAGCGGCUCUCUGGUCUGUAACUGACGCUGAGGCUCGAAAGCGUGGGGAGCGAACAGG
RNAcentral lists this ribosomal RNA (429 nucleotides) under Bacteroidota bacterium. RNAcentral describes it as "Bacteroidetes bacterium partial 16S ribosomal RNA". It matches the Rfam family "Bacterial small subunit ribosomal RNA", at positions 355 to 776 of the family's 1533-position model. The record is from RNAcentral. Lineage: Bacteria; Pseudomonadati; Bacteroidota.